This 460-nucleotide ribosomal RNA is filed under the name uncultured bacterium. RNAcentral's name for it is "partial 16S ribosomal RNA". It matches the Rfam family "Bacterial small subunit ribosomal RNA", at positions 338 to 795 of the family's 1533-position model. The record is from RNAcentral.
CCUACGGGAGGCAGCAGUGAGGAAUAUUGGUCAAUAGGCGGGAGCCUGAACCAGCCAAGUCGCGUGAGGGAAGACGGUCCUACGGAUUGUAAACCUCUUUUGCCGGGGAGCAACGGGGUCCUUGCGAGGGCUCGAUGAGAGUACCCGGAGAAAAAGCAUCGGCUAACUCCGUCCCAGCAGCCGCGGUAAUACGGAGGAGGCGAGCGUUAUCCGGAUUUAUUGGGUUUAAAGGGUGCGUAGGCGGGCUGUUAAGUCAGUGGUAAAAUGUCGGGGCUCAACCCCGGCCUGCCGUUGAAACUGGCGGCCUCGAGUGGGCGAGAAGUAUGCGGAAUGCGUGGUGUAGCGGUGAAAUGCAUAGAUAUCACGCAGAACUCCGAUUGCGAAGGCAGCAUACCGGCGCACUACUGACGCUGAGGCACGAAAGCGUGGGUAUCGAACAGGAUUAGAUACCCGGGUAGUC